UGGGGAAUUUUGGACAAUGGGCGCAAGCCUGAUCCAGCCAUGCCGCGUGCGGGAAGAAGGCCUUCGGGUUGUAAACCGCUUUUGUCAGGGAAGAAAUCUUCUGAGUUAAUACCUCGGGAGGAUGACGGUACCUGAAGAAUAAGCACCGGCUAACUACGUGCCAGCAGCCGCGGUAAUACGUAGGGUGCAAGCGUUAAUCGGAAUUACUGGGCGCAAAGCGUGCGCAGGCGGUUUUGUAAGACAGAGGUGAAAUCCCCGGGCUCAACCUGGGAACUGCCUUUGUGACUGCAAGGCUUGAGUGCGGCAGAGGGGGAUGGAAUUCCGCGUGUAGCAGUGAAAUGCGUAGAUAUGCGGAGGAACACCGAUGGCGAAGGCAAUCCCCUGGGCCUGCACUGACGCUCAUGCACGAAAGCGUGGGGAGCAAACAGGAUUAGAUACCCUGGUAGUCCACGCCCUAAACGAUGUCAACUGGUUGUUGGGAAGGUUCCUUCUCAGUAACGUAGCUAACGCGUGAAGUUGACCGCCUGGGGAGUACGGCCGCAAGGUUGAAACUCAAAUGAAUUGACGGGGU
This 571-nucleotide ribosomal RNA is filed under the name uncultured bacterium. RNAcentral's name for it is "partial 16S ribosomal RNA". It matches the Rfam family "Bacterial small subunit ribosomal RNA", at positions 355 to 919 of the family's 1533-position model. The record is from RNAcentral.